AUUAGAUAAAAAACCAAUGCCUUCGGGCUCUCUGGUGAUUCAUGAUAACUUUACGAAUCGCAUGGCCUUGCGCUGGCGAUGGUUCAUUCAAAUUUCUGCCCUAUCAACUUUCGAUGGUAGGAUAGUGGCCUACCAUAGUUGUAACGGGUAACGGGGAAUUAGGGUUCGAUUCCGGAGAGGGAGCCUGAGAAACGGCUACCACAUCCAAGGAAGGCAGCAGGCGCGCAAAUUACCCAAUCCCGACACGGGGAGGUAGUGACAAUAAAUACUGAUACAGGGGCCUUUUGGUUCUUGUAAUUAGAAUGAGUACAAUUUAAAUCCUUUAACGAGGAACAAUUGGAGGGCAAGUCUGGUGCCAGCAGCCGCGGUAAUUCCAGCUCCAAUAGCGUAUAUUAAAGUUGUUGCAGUUAAAAAGCUCGUAGUUGAAUUUUGGGUUUGGGUGACCGGUCUGCGGCUACCGCAUGUACUGGAAACCCCGGAUCUUUCCUUCUGGAGAACCGCAUGCCCUUUACUGGG
Molecule: ribosomal RNA, 516 nt
Filed under: uncultured fungus
Lineage: Eukaryota; Fungi
Description: SSU rRNA
Rfam family: Eukaryotic small subunit ribosomal RNA
Source: RNAcentral